GACGAACGCUGGCGGCGUGCCUAAUACAUGCAAGUCGAGCGGAGUUGAAAAAAAGUUUACUUUUUUUCUUCUCAGCGGCGGACGGGUGAGUAACACGUGGGCAACCUGCCCUGUAGACUGGGAUAACUUCGGGAAACCGAAGCUAAUACCGGAUAAUCAUAGAAGUUGCAUAGCUUCUAUGUAAAAGUUGGGUUUACCUAACACUCCAGGAUGGGCCCGCGUCGCAUUAGCUAGUUGGUAAGGUAACGGCUUACCAAGGCGACGAUGCGUAGCCGACCUGAGAGGGUGAUCGGCCACACUGGGACUGAGACACGGCCCAGACUCCUACGGGAGGCAGCAGUAGGGAAUCUUCCGCAAUGGACGAAAGUCUGACGGAGCAACGCCGCGUGAGCGAUGAAGGCCUUCGGGUCGUAAAGCUCUGUUGUUAGGGAAGAACAAGUGCUAUUUCGAAUAGGGUGGCACC
Molecule: ribosomal RNA, 463 nt
Filed under: Bacillus sp. oral taxon C44
Lineage: Bacteria; Bacillati; Bacillota; Bacilli; Caryophanales; Bacillaceae
Description: bacterial SSU rRNA
Rfam family: Bacterial small subunit ribosomal RNA
Source: RNAcentral